GGCUGGGUAGCACAGUGGUUAUGCAGCGGAUUGCAAAUCCGUAGACGCCGGUUCGAUUCCGACCCCAGCCUCCA
RNAcentral lists this transfer RNA (74 nucleotides) under Psychrobacter sp. Its description in RNAcentral is "tRNA-Cys". It matches the Rfam family "tRNA". From Rfam's summary of the family: Transfer RNA (tRNA) molecules are approximately 80 nucleotides in length. Their secondary structure includes four short double-helical elements and three loops (D, anti-codon, and T loops). RNAcentral also lists the same sequence under 9 other names. The record is from RNAcentral. Lineage: Bacteria; Pseudomonadati; Pseudomonadota; Gammaproteobacteria; Moraxellales; Moraxellaceae.